AAAGGGGAACGAGUGGUGCUAUAGUGAAUAUCUCAACAACUGUUAGCAAAAUUGCUUCUGCUGGCCGAAUGCCUUACAGUGAGUAUUUCCCUGCACUGCCACCUGCAUUUUUAGAUCAUAUUAUCGAGGUAGAUAACAGGUAGGAGUAAACCCUUUUCGAUUGAGAUCCUUCAGAUCUAUAAAGCGGAAUACCCAUGCUUUAUUCAGCUGUAUUCGUGUAUUGAUUCCCACUUAAUAAAGGCGUGUGCAUGGUCAAAGGACGUUGCUGGCCUGAUGUGGGGCGGGGAUGGCGGGGAGAGAUAUUAGGGAGCUUAAGCAUGUAGGACGGCAACACGACGACGACGCGUCGUCGUCGUCGUGUGCCAUCCUACAUACUUAAGCUCCCUAAUAUAUACUCGAUAAAAGCGUGAUACAGUGCAUGAUACAGUGCGAAAAUAUUUCAAUUGUUAUAAAUUUUUUUUACAAUUUUAUGACGAAUCUUUUAUCAAUGAUUAGUACCCAGUAAAAGCUAAAUUUCAAUAGGUUUUAUCUGCUAUAUAUUUAGCUAUGACCAAAGCUGCGAUGAAUAACGCUACUAUGGCGAUGGCAGUAGAACUGGCUAAACACAAGGUUGGUUAACUGAAAUUCGUUCAAUUUAUCAUAAGUCCUCUAUUAACCUCUAGUAUAAGUUGUGACUAAAAAACAAAUUGGCUGUUUAAUUGGAAUUAAUUGUAACCCGCAGGCAUGCAAAAAUAGGUAAGUGUGGUCGUCAACGGCGGGUGUGAAUGCUAUACGAGUUUGAUGCGUUCGCACGCUUCGGUGAUAUCCGAAGUAAUUUACGAUAAAUGAGAAGCACUGAUCGUGAUAGUUAGUUGACUCAGUUUUUUCGUUGGGAUAUACAUCGGCACACGCAAGGAAAGAAACAAGGAUUUACAGAUUGAAGUUAUCGGUUUCUUUAUAGCACAGUGUUACAAGUCAAAAUCUUUUCCACGGGUUCAUCAAUUUCGAGUUUUCGCCCCUCUUACCCCCACCCUAUCGACAAAUAUUAUUCAGGAACGUUGGCAAACGCAGUACAUACACGAGUGGGUUUACAGCAUAAUUGACGUAAAAUGCACAAGUUAAGGAUUUGAAUUCGUGCUUUCCUCGAUCCAGUUAAUUUAAUAGUUCAGUUGGUAGAGCGGUGGGAUUUUUUACUGAUUGAAAUUCUCGACUCUCGUGUACUUAAAUAUAUAAAGACUUGAAUUUGUGUUCUCCCAACUAACUCGAUAUCGAAGUGUCAGCGUUGCAGUUUGGGUGUUAUUGAUUAACUAUGGCAGAGAACAAUAUUACUACAACAGUCAGCAACGAAUUCACGUACAGCGUUGUGCCAAUGAUUAUCAUAAUUUGUAUUCUCGGAGUAGCUUUCAAUCUAUUACUUCUUGUUGCUUUUAUUAAAGAUCCUCACAAAUGCUUCAGAAACUCAGGAACAUAUCUUGUAAUGAACCUGGCAGUUUCCGACUGUCUAAUGUGUUUAUUUAUUCCAUGUUACACACUUUACAGCAUCAAAGGAAUGACUGGUCGGCAACGGAUUUUUGGAUUUCUCGUAAGGUGGUUCGGAAUGUCCUCUUUGUAUCGAUUGGUUCAAUAUCGAUCGAUCGUUUUUUAAUGGUCGCUUAUCCGAUAAAACAUCGCGUUUUGAUCAGAGGUAAAAUUAUAGUCUUGUGGCUCGCAGCAAUUUGGAUAGCAAGUUGUGUACCUUCUGUAUUAAGAUUCUUCUCCCAUGGUCGUAAGAAUGAACUGAUGGAGAAAAACAUCUACACCAUUUGUGUCAUUAUUGUUGUAUUCUCCGCAGUUAUGUACGCUGCCACAUAUUACCAAUUGAAAAAACAGUCGAGGAACAUAGCUUUACAAAAUUCAAACGAUAGUCGUGCACAAGAGAUAAGAAUACUUAAAGAAAAGCGAUUUUUAAAGACAAUCGUUAUCAUAGCAUGUAUCGCUUUCAUUUGUGUUGUGCCUUCUGCGAUAUUCUAUCAGUUCUACAAUGCCGAAGUUCUGGGUCUCUUCAGAGGCAAUUUGAUCUCUGAGAUUUUAAGAAAAAUAUUUGCUUCCAUUUUUAAUAAACUUUUGUGAACCCAUUAAUUUAUGUCGUACGUUUGCCAAACUAUCGGAAAACAUUUUAUUUGCUGUAUUGCAAAAGAGUUGAGAGAUAUUCUUGAGGGUACAAGGUAGUUUGCAUGUAUACUUUCCUUAUUUAGUAUAUUCUUGUAAAUAUAAUAAUAUAGUAUAGUAAUAGUUUGUACUUUUUUGUUUAUGUAGAUAUAGAUGCACGAUUUCAGGAGCGGUCACUUGACAAACAGUUUGUUACUAACUACAUGAUAGACUACAGUUGUUAAAUAUUUGUUAAAUAUUAAAUGCCUUUAAUUGUGACCACUGAUGAGCAACAGUCUAGCUAGGAUUUGGGAUUUGACUGUUAUUGUUUUUU
This 2440-nucleotide long non-coding RNA is filed under the name Paramuricea clavata. The record is from RNAcentral. Lineage: Eukaryota; Metazoa; Cnidaria; Anthozoa; Malacalcyonacea; Plexauridae.